UGGGGAAUAUUGGACAAUGGGCGAAAGCCUGAUCCAGCAAUACCGCGUGAAUGAUGAAGGCCUUAGGGUUGUAAAGUUCUUUUAGUUGGAAAGAUAAUGACGGUACCAACAGAAAAAGCCCCGGCUAACUCCGUGCCAGCAGCCGCGGUAAGACGGAGGGGGCUAGCGUUGUUCGGAAUUACUGGGCGUAAAGGGCGCGUAGGCGGAUUAGUAAGUUGGAAGUGAAAGCCCGGGGCUUAACCUCGGAACUGCUUUCAAAACUGCUAGUCUUGAGUGAAGUAGGGGAUGAUGGAAUUCCUAGUGUAGAGGUGAAAUUCUUAGAUAUUAGGAGGAACACCGGUGGCGAAGGCGGUCAUCUGGACUUCAACUGACGCUGAGGCGCGAAAGCGUGGGGAGCAAACA
Molecule: ribosomal RNA, 402 nt
Filed under: uncultured Rickettsiaceae bacterium
Lineage: Bacteria; Pseudomonadati; Pseudomonadota; Alphaproteobacteria; Rickettsiales; Rickettsiaceae
Description: partial 16S ribosomal RNA
Rfam family: Bacterial small subunit ribosomal RNA
Source: RNAcentral